ACAGCGAUAGCCUCAGUAACGGCGAGUGAAGCGGCUACAGCUCAAAUUUGAAAUCUGGCUCCCUUUGGGCGUCCGAGUUGUAAUUUGCAGAGGAUGCUUUGGCAUUGGCGGCGGUCUAAGUUCCUUGGAACAGGACAUCGCAGAGGGUGAGAAUCCCGUACGUGGGCGCCUGCCUUUGCCGUGUAAAGCUCCUUCGACGAGUCGAGUUGUUUGGGAAUGCAGCUCUAAAUGGGAGGUAAAUUUCUCCUAAAGCUAAAUACCGGCCAGAGACCGAUAGCGCACAAGUAGAGUGAUCGAAAGAUGAAAAGUACUUUGGAAAGAGAGUCAAAUAGCACGUGAAAUUGUUGAAAGGGAAGCGCUUGCAGCCAGACUUGCCCGCAGUUGCUCACCUAGGCUUUUGCCUGGGGCACUCUUCUGCGGGCAGGCCAGCAUCAGUUUGGGCGGUCGGAUAAAGGUCUCUGUCAUGUACCACCCCUCGGGGUGGCCUUAUAGGGGAGACGCAAUGCGACCAGCCCGGACUGAGGUCCGCGCAUCUGCUAGGAUGCUGGCGUAAUGGCUGUAAGCGGCCCGUCUUGAAACACGGACCAAGGAGUCUAACAUCUAUGCGAGUGUUUGGGUGUCAAGCCCGGGCGCGCAAUGAAAGUGAACGGAGGUGGGAACCUUUCGGGGUGCACCAUCGACCGAUCCUGAUGUCUUCGGAUGGAUUUGAGUAAGAGCAUAGCUGUUGGGACCCGAAAGAUGGUGAACUAUGCUUGAAUAGGGUGAAGCCAGAGGAAACUCUGGUGGAGGCUCGCAGCGGUUCUGACGUGCAAAUCGAUCGUCAAAUUUGGGCAUAGGGGCGAAAGACUAAUCGAACCAUCUAGUAGCUGGUUCCUGCCGAA
This 881-nucleotide ribosomal RNA is filed under the name Pseudopithomyces sacchari. Its description in RNAcentral is "partial large subunit ribosomal RNA". It matches the Rfam family "Eukaryotic large subunit ribosomal RNA", at positions 68 to 965 of the family's 3401-position model. Lineage: Eukaryota; Fungi; Ascomycota; Dothideomycetes; Pleosporales; Didymosphaeriaceae. The record is from RNAcentral.